This 468-nucleotide ribosomal RNA is filed under the name uncultured bacterium. RNAcentral describes it as "partial 16S ribosomal RNA". It matches the Rfam family "Bacterial small subunit ribosomal RNA", at positions 28 to 507 of the family's 1533-position model. The record is from RNAcentral.
GACGAACGCUGGCGGCGUGCUUAACACAUGCAAGUCGAACGGAAAGGCCCUGCUUUUGUGGGGUGCUCGAGUGGCGAACGGGUGAGUAACACGUGAGUAACCUGCCCUUGACUUUGGGAUAACUUCAGGAAACUGGGGCUAAUACCGGAUAGGAGCUCCUGCUGCAUGGUGGGGGUUGGAAAGUUUCGGCGGUUGGGGAUGGACUCGCGGCUUAUCAGCUUGUUGGUGGGGUAGUGGCUUACCAAGGCUUUGACGGGUAGCCGGCCUGAGAGGGUGACCGGCCACAUUGGGACUGAGAUACGGCCCAGACUCCUACGGGAGGCAGCAGUGGAGAAUAUUGCACAAUGGGCGGAAGCCUGAUGUAGCAACGCCGCGUGCGGGAUGACGGCCUUCGGGUUGUAAACCGCUUUCGCCUGUGACGAAGCGUGAGUGACGGUAAUGGGUAAAGAAGCACCGGCUAACUACGUG